Long non-coding RNA from Lolium rigidum, 801 nucleotides. RefSeq lists it as uncharacterized. Lineage: Eukaryota; Viridiplantae; Streptophyta; Magnoliopsida; Poales; Poaceae. The transcript has 5 exons. The record is from RefSeq and is a predicted model, not a curated record.
GCCCCUCCCUCGCCGGCGGUCCUGAAUUCCAGGCGGCGUUGCUCGUGGGAAGUCCCGACGGGAGCUGCGCGUGGGGCGCUUCCCGGUGGACUACGACGCGUCCACGAGCUACUGCGCGGCGUUUUCCAUGGUGAGCCUGCCGUCGCCGCGGUUCCUCUCCCCAUCCGGCAGGGAACGAGCGGGUGGCGUACCAGGCCGCGCGAACACUCUCCGGCUUGGUGGAUCCUUUAGAAACCUUGGCUCCGUUCUUGUGAGCAUCGUGGUCUAGUGUUGAUUCAUGUUGCUGCAAUCUUAGCAUAUUCACUUGUUUGUUUACACAAAUCCAAGCUCUGUCAUCAGAUUUCAGCCGCCAAGCCGAGGAUAUUGGCAGAGCUGAUUCUUUAGCUCAAUUUUGUUCAUGUAGAGAUCAAGGAUGGACGGCGAUGUUCAAAAAAUUAAGUGGAACUGAAGAUGUGUCUUACUCCUGGGUACACAAUGAACUGUAGAGUUACAUCGCAUGUUGUGGUCUUCAGCGCCGGGCUGCCUAGUACGAUAGAAAUACAAACAUCAACGCGUUGUCUAGUCGAGCUGAUCUAGCUAAAUAAUUUGCACCGACUAAUGUAAUUUUUAUUAAAUGUUCACAUAUUGAUUUCUUAAUUUUUGAUAUGCACGGGAUGCCUGAAAUAUGUAAACACAUGUGUGCAUGGACACAUAUAUAUGUUUAUUCAAAUGGAGAUCUUACUCUAGCCGUACUUGUAAAACUUGCAUUGUGUAAUCAGGCCAUCCUUGCUAUUCGUAUGGGCAUUAAACUUUUACAUCACC